This 153-nucleotide ribosomal RNA is filed under the name Ilyonectria sp. Its description in RNAcentral is "partial large subunit ribosomal RNA". Lineage: Eukaryota; Fungi; Ascomycota; Sordariomycetes; Hypocreales; Nectriaceae. The record is from RNAcentral.
ACUUUCCAGCCCAGGCCAGCAUCAGUUCGCUGUGGGGGAUAAAGGCUUUGGGAAUGUGGCUCCUCCGGGAGUGUUAUAGCCCAUUGUGUAAUACCCUGUGGUGGACUGAGGUUCGCGCAUCUGCAAGGAUGCUGGCGUAAUGGUCAUCAGCGA